This 1375-nucleotide long non-coding RNA is filed under the name Gallus gallus (chicken). Its description in RNAcentral is "lncRNA (ENSGALG00010023582.1)". The record is from RNAcentral. Lineage: Eukaryota; Metazoa; Chordata; Aves; Galliformes; Phasianidae.
CCACUCCCCAGCUCUUGCCCCCAUCUGCCCAGAGCUUGAAUGGCUGUCCGACAACGUCAGGCUGGCAGCGAGGAGGCAGGCGUGGAUGCUAUGAGAGCUGGAACUGCAGAGCUGUGCUGAGAUGGCUCAGGGCCCAGAGCUGUUUUCUCCCGAGCUGAAGAGGAGAGAAAUCUGACAGCCCUGCCAGUGACAGAGAACUUCAGGAUGGGAGACUAUUUGGGAAACUGCCCUGAAAAAGUCUGCCUUCCAGUGCCUUACCACUCUUUCUGAGAAGAAAUUUUUCUUGGUAUCCAAACUGAACCACCCAUGAUGCAACUUAAGGCCCCACUUGUUCUAUUACUGUUACCUGGGAGAAGAGACCAACCUCCACCUCACUACACCGUAACUCAGGACAGCCUAAGAGGCCUCAGCUGUACCACUUUGUAGUGGAAAUGCUAAGUCAUGGCCUGAAGCAGUGAUUAAGCACCUGGUGGAAGGCAGGACCAACCCAGGGGAGCUCAGCUGCAUGCAAUGGCCCUGAGUGACUGGAAGGGGUAGAACCAGGAUCCACCCUUUCCCAGACCUCAUUUAAGGGUUAGCUGUGGAGGUGAUGGCAUCUUACUGGAAGCCCCUGUGUCCCUGAGGCCUUCUGAAGUUUGCAGGUCUUGGUGUGGACAGAAAAAUCCAUCGCAUGUAGCUGCAAUUACACUGGGACUCAGAAGAUUAGAAGAUGCUUUGCUCUCCUGCUCCUGCUUGCUAGAAUGGAAGAGGUCAUCUAUUUUUAAAGUACUUGGCAGAGGACCAGCACAGGCACUGCAGAUGCGAUACAUCGAGUUCAUCACUGUCUGCUCCUCAUGGCAUGGCCAGAUCAUCAGGUUAUCUUCUACUUGCCUGUUUCCAUGGAAGUCAGCUCUCUUUGGGAUGGCUUACUUCAGCUUCAGCAGCUUUCCAGACCGCAUCUGGGGGUUAACACACCACUUCCACUGAGUGUCACCUUCUUGGAGAGUCAUUAUCUCCAAUUUGUGUGUGGAAGGCAAGGCUUCUAAUUAUACACUGCAGCAAGUGCGUUUUUUAUAAAUAGCACCAAUUGUUCUGCAGGGACAUUUGAAUCUGAAUCAGCUCCUCUUCAUUUUCGCAGUCUGUCUCCCAUGUGCGAGGAUAUUUUUUACUAAGGAAACUCAAGUGGAUCAUGUGUGACACAAAGGCUGGGGCACUAGAAUGGGAUUUGGAAGUCUGGAAUCUGCUGCAGGCCAUGGUGGUUUCGUCUGCUGUGUGAGCAGAGGCCAUCUCGCUUCCCUGUCACACCCAAGUCCCUGGUGCAAAGCUCUCUGGAUGAGUGUUACUCUUGCUACAGCAUCCAGCCUCACUGUAUGUGGAAACAUCACUGUAAUAAGGG